UGCCUUGUCGUCUAGCGGUAGGAUGCGACGCUCUGAACGUCGAGACGGAGGUUCGAGUCCUCCCGAGGCAG
Molecule: transfer RNA, 71 nt
Filed under: Planctomycetaceae bacterium
Lineage: Bacteria; Pseudomonadati; Planctomycetota; Planctomycetia; Planctomycetales; Planctomycetaceae
Description: tRNA-Gln
Rfam family: tRNA
About the family: Transfer RNA (tRNA) molecules are approximately 80 nucleotides in length.
Source: RNAcentral